RNAcentral lists this ribosomal RNA (253 nucleotides) under uncultured bacterium. Its description in RNAcentral is "partial 16S ribosomal RNA". It matches the Rfam family "Bacterial small subunit ribosomal RNA", at positions 524 to 776 of the family's 1533-position model. The record is from RNAcentral.
UACGAAGGGAGCAAGCGUUGUUCGGAAUAACUGGGCGUAAAGGGCGUGUAGGCGGUUUUAUAAGUUUGUUGUGAAAUUCUUGGGCUUAACCUAAGAACUGCAAUGGAUACUGUAAGACUAGAGUCUGGAAGGGGAGAACGGAAUUGUGUGUGGAGAGGUGAAAUUCGUAGAUAUACACAGGAACACCGGCGGUGAAGACGGUUCUCUGGUACAUGACUGACGCUAAUGCGCGAAAGCGUGGGGAGCAAACAGG